UUUCCAUUAUUCAUCUCUUUCUUCUUCUUCUUCUUUUUCUUUUUUUGAUCAAUGAGUUGAAGGUUGAUAAGUUAGCAUUGAUUAGGGAGACUUAACCUUCCUUGAUUCAAAUCUAAUUCAUUCCAUUAUUCAUCUCUUUCUUCUUCUUCUUCUUUUUCUUUUUUUGAUCAAUGAGUUGAAGGUUGAUAAGUUAGCAUUGAUUAGGGAGACUUAACCUUCCUUGAUUCAAAUCUAAUUCAUCUUGAUCAAUU
RNAcentral lists this long non-coding RNA (251 nucleotides) under Lathyrus oleraceus (garden pea). RNAcentral describes it as "Pisum sativum (pea) long non-coding RNA (PSAT_LNC014802)". Lineage: Eukaryota; Viridiplantae; Streptophyta; Magnoliopsida; Fabales; Fabaceae. The record is from RNAcentral.